GCAGUCGAGCGAACAGAUGAGAAGCUUGCUUCUCUGAUGUUAGCGGCGGACGGGUGAGUAACACGUGGGUAACCUACCUAUAAGACUGGGAUAACUCCGGGAAACCGGGGCUAAUACCGGAUAAUAUUUUGAACCGCAUGGUUCAAUAGUGAAAGACGGUUUCGGCUGUCACUUAUAGAUGGACCCGCGCCGUAUUAGCUAGUUGGUAAGGUAAUGGCUUACCAAGGCGACGAUACGUAGCCGACCUGAGAGGGUGAUCGGCCACACUGGAACUGAGACACGGUCCAGACUCCUACGGGAGGCAGCAGUAGGGAAUCUUCCGCAAUGGGCGAAAGCCUGACGGAGCAACGCCGCGUGAGUGAUGAAGGUCUUCGGAUCGUAAAACUCUGUUGUUAGGGAAGAACAAAUUUGUUAGUAACUGAACAAGUCUUGACGGUACCUAACCAGAAAGCCACGGCUAACUACGUGCCAGCAGCCGCGGUAAUACGUAGGUGGCAAGCGUUAUCCGGAAUUAUUGGGCGUAAAGCGCGCGUAGGCGGUUUCUUAAGUCUGAUGUGAAAGCCCACGGCUCAACCGUGGAGGGUCAUUGGAAACUGGGAAACUUGAGUGCAGAAGAGGAGAGUGGAAUUCCAUGUGUAGCGGUGAAAUGCGCAGAGAUAUGGAGGAACACCAGUGGCGAAGGCGGCUCUCUGGUCUGUAACUGACGCUGAUGUGCGAAAGCGUGGGGAUCAAACAGGAUUAGAUACCCUGGUAGUCCACGCCGUAAACGAUGAGUGCUAAGUGUUAGGGGGUUUCCGCCCCUUAGUGCUGCAGCUAACGCAUUAAGCACUCCGCCUGGGGAGUACGACCGCAAGGUUGAAACUCAAAGGAAUUGACGGGGACCCGCACAAGCGGUGGAGCAUGUGGUUUAAUUCGAAGCAACGCGAAGAACCUUACCAAAUCUUGACAUCCUUUGACCGCUCUAGAGAUAGAGUCUUCCCCUUCGGGGGACAAAGUGACAGGUGGUGCAUGGUUGUCGUCAGCUCGUGUCGUGAGAUGUUGGGUUAAGUCCCGCAACGAGCGCAACCCUUAAGCUUAGUUGCCAUCAUUAAGUUGGGCACUCUAGGUUGACUGCCGGUGACAAACCGGAGGAAGGUGGGGAUGACGUCAAAUCAUCAUGCCCCUUAUGAUUUGGGCUACACACGUGCUACAAUGGAUAAUACAAAGGGCAGCGAAUCCGCGAGGCCAAGCAAAUCCCAUAAAAUUAUUCUCAGUUCGGAUUGUAGUCUGCAACUCGACUACAUGAAGCUGGAAUCGCUAGUAAUCGUAGAUCAGCAUGCUACGGUGAAUACGUUCCCGGGUCUUGUACACACCGCCCGUCACACCACGAGAGUUUGUAACACCCGAAGCCGGUGGAGUAACCUUUUAGGA
Molecule: ribosomal RNA, 1410 nt
Filed under: bacterium
Lineage: Bacteria
Description: bacterial SSU rRNA
Rfam family: Bacterial small subunit ribosomal RNA
Source: RNAcentral